Molecule: transfer RNA, 55 nt
Filed under: Meloidogyne chitwoodi
Lineage: Eukaryota; Metazoa; Nematoda; Chromadorea; Rhabditida; Meloidogynidae
Description: tRNA-Leu
Source: RNAcentral
GAGAAUUUAUUAUAUUUUUAGUAUAUUUAUUUUAAGAUUAAAAGGAGUUUUCUUA